This 65-nucleotide transfer RNA is filed under the name Sthenoteuthis oualaniensis. RNAcentral's name for it is "tRNA-Thr". The record is from RNAcentral. Lineage: Eukaryota; Metazoa; Mollusca; Cephalopoda; Oegopsida; Ommastrephidae.
AGUUAUAAAGAUUGAUUAUCUAAUUUUGAUUUACAAGACCAAGGUUUUAUUUAAACUAUUAUAAC